RNAcentral lists this ribosomal RNA (272 nucleotides) under uncultured bacterium. RNAcentral's name for it is "partial 16S ribosomal RNA". It matches the Rfam family "Bacterial small subunit ribosomal RNA", at positions 28 to 308 of the family's 1533-position model. The record is from RNAcentral.
GAUGAACGUUGGCGGCGUGCCUAACACAUGCAAGUCGAACGCUAGUAGCAAUAUUAGAGUGGCGCACGGGUGAGUAACACGUAGCUUACCCACCUCCCAGCGCGGGAUAACGGUUCGAAAGAACUGCUAAUACCGCAUAAGCUCACGGGCUAUAGAGGCUAGUGAGAAAAGGCUUAGGUCACUGGGAGCGGGGGCUGCGGCCCAUCAGCUGGUUGGGGCGGUAACGGCGCACCAAGGCGACGACGGGUAGGGGACCUGAGAGGGUGACCCCC